This 1239-nucleotide long non-coding RNA is filed under the name Brassica napus (rape). RNAcentral's name for it is "long non-coding RNA (BNAP_LNC004476)". The record is from RNAcentral. Lineage: Eukaryota; Viridiplantae; Streptophyta; Magnoliopsida; Brassicales; Brassicaceae.
UAAUUGUUCCGGAAAAACUUAAUAAAUGCUCUUUGGUUUGCAAAGAAAAAGAUGUUUACGGCAACGAGUGAUGGGCCCCCUUUGGUUAUGUUAUCAUAAUGUCAUAAGGUGUUCACAUCGUGCCAUAUGAAUUAUGAUCUAUCGCGACUUUUUCUUAGUCUUAGUCAGAGGCGGAGGUACGCUGGUCUUAGUGUUUUCUUGUUCGUUUGCAUGAAAAGGAUGAAGUAACUAUAUUAAGGUCCACUGUCUACCCUUGGUUAUGUUUGAGAAUUGGAAAUGGCCAAACCUGUCGGUUUUGGAGCGAUAAUUGGAGUCCGUUUGGUUGCAUCUCUGACUUCUUGAACCUUCCUCCAUCCUCUCGUCUGGGAAUCUCAAGAACCGCUACUCUGUCAGACCUGAAUGAGAAUGGAAAUUGGCUGCUUCAUGCAGCAAGAUCGGAGGAGCAAGUUCAGAUUCAAGUAUACUUAUCAAGAUACUUAUCAACUAUCUUUCUCUCGGAGGAGGAAGACCAGUAUGAGUGGAUAAUCGAUGGUUCAAGGAGCACUACUUUUUCGACAGGAGCAGUCUACAGAGAGCUUAAACAUCACAAUCCGGUGGUGAGUUGGAGCAAGACAGUGUGGUGUCCAAGGGGUACCCCUAAACACAGCUUCCUUGCGUGGCUGAUGAACCGCUGCCCCACUAGAGACCGCCUGCUAUCCUGGGGGCUUAAUACACUCUCUUCCUGCCUUCUCUGCAACUCCGCUGACAAAAGCCGUAAUCAUCUCUUUUUUUACUGUCUUUAUUUUGACAGAUCUGGAACAUAAUUGGAACUAGAUCAGUUCUUUAUGCAUCUCCUUUGUGGGACCAGACUCUCUCUGCUCUUCAACAUCUGUCGGGACCGAGACAUGCAAAACUCCUAGUUCUCUUCGCGUGGCAGUGCACCAUCUAUCUCAUCUGGUCAGAAAGGAACGCUCGGUUGCAUAUAAGCAUCUAUCAGCCUCCAGACUCAAUCAUCUCCUCCAUUGCAGCUUACAUCAAAACAAAAAUAGCGGCGAUCAUCUUCAAUCUUCCAAUUCUGGUAUCGGUGAUCUCUAUCUUUCUGACUUCCUACUGGAUCAAAAUAUUUCCCACUUGAGCUUUUCUAAAUUGUGGUUCAAUUAUAUGGAACUAUGGAUUUGUGUUUGUAUUAAUGGACAAGGUCCACGAAACUGUCCGCUGGACCGAAGUCUUUUGUAAUUUGCUUUAUGUUUUAAAUAGAAC